CCUACGUGAGGCAGCAGUGAGGAAUAUUGGUCAAUGGGCGCGAGCCUGAACCAGCCAAGUAGCGUGAAGGAUGACUGCCCUACGGGUUGUAAACUUCGUUUAUAAAGGAAUAAAGUGAGGCACGUGUGCCUUUUUGUAUGUACUUUAUGAAUAAGGAUCGGCUAACUCCGUGCCAGCAGACGCGGUAAUACGGAGGUUCCGAGCGUUAUCCGGCUUUAUUGGGGUUAAAGGGAGCGUAGAUGGGUUGUUAAGUCAGUAGUGAAAGUUUUCGGCUCAACCGUAAAAUUGCAAUUGAUACUGGCAGUCUUGAGUGCAGUUGAGGUAGGCGGAAUUCGUGGUGUAGCGGUGAAAUGCUUAGAUAUCACGAAGAACUCCGAUUGCGAAGGCAGCUUACUAAACUGCCACUGACAUUGAUGCUCGAAAGUGUGGGUAUCAAACAGGAUUAGAUACCCCUGUAGUC
RNAcentral lists this ribosomal RNA (460 nucleotides) under uncultured bacterium. Its description in RNAcentral is "partial 16S ribosomal RNA". It matches the Rfam family "Bacterial small subunit ribosomal RNA", at positions 338 to 795 of the family's 1533-position model. The record is from RNAcentral.